Molecule: long non-coding RNA, 2134 nt
Filed under: Gopherus agassizii (Agassiz's desert tortoise)
Lineage: Eukaryota; Metazoa; Chordata; Testudines; Testudinidae
Description: lncRNA (ENSGAGG00000003721.1)
Source: RNAcentral
CAUGAACCUGCACCAUUGGCCUCAUCAUUGCAAGUGAAUUCUUGUGUGGGGAGGUCAUCACCAAUUUACAAACUGUUUAGCAGAGAAUCAGUCCAGGAAACCAACCAAGAAAAAAGUCUAGAGGUGCAUGAAGAAAAUAAGGAGCAAGAAACCUCUGGCAGGCACACCGCUAUAUCGCAACCAGUGGGAGAGUGUGGCCACAACUCAGAAGACGUGCUACUAAUUCCAGUAUCCCUUUUUAACAUCAGUGAUCCCCCAACAUGGCCCAAGUUCAUAGAUGACAAAAGACCAGCCAAACUGAAACAUGGACUGUUGCAAAUUAAAGGUAAAAGUUUUCCAAGUCACAAUGGAAGAAAAUUAAAAAAUGGAGGAAAUAUACAAUGGCACUGGCUCAUGUAGUCAAGUAAAGUGGAUGCAUUAUUUUUGCUGAAAGUAUUUGGUGUUGGUAAGCAUCAUCUCAUGGAUGGUGGUGUUCCCUCAAAACAUAACUCUCAAAACUCAUGAGAAAAUCCAUGUUCUUCACAUUGGAAAUAUGGUGAAGUGGAGAGAAUUGGAACUACAACUGAAAACUGAAUCUGCAGUUGACCAGACUUCAUAAUCAUUGUUCGAAAUUGAGAGACAACACUUGUGAGGUGUAUUUGAAAGAACUGUGGCCAUUGUUCUUCACUUAGCAUUUUGUGGUUCCAUGGAAAAAUGUAACCGGUGUGGAAAUGGUAACUUCUUAGGCCAAGUCGAGUUAAUGGCUAAAUUUGAUACUGUGAUGAAGGAACAUGUAAGACAGUUCUUUGCUACAGACAUCAUAAUUUAACUUCAAAAUGAUAUCAUUUUGUAUUGUAGGGCUUAUUUCAAAAGGUAACAGGUACAUUUAUUAACAGUGUAAACAAGAUAAAGUAUUACUCCAUUAUUUUGGAUUGCAUAUCUGAUAUCAGACACGAGGAACAAAUGUCUAGACUCAUAGAUCUUAAGGCUGAAAAGGACCAUUGAGAUCAUCUUGUCUCAGCUCCUGCACAUCACAGGCCACGGUACCUCACCCACCCACUCCUGUAGUAUGCCUGUAACCUCUCCUCAAGUCAUGACUUAAAGGGUUCAAGUUAAAGAGUAUCCACCAUUUACUCUUUUUCAACCCAGCAAGUGACCCAUGCCCCAUGCUGCAGAGAAAGGUGAAAAUCCCCCAGGGUCUCUGCUACUCUGACAUGGGUGAAAAUUUCUUCUCGACCACAACUAUGGUGAUCAGUUAGAUCCUAACCAUGUCGGCAAGACCCACCAGCUGGGAAAGAAUUCACUUUAGGACUCUAGCUGAGAAGGGCUCUGAGUUACAAUUUCCGGCCAUUGGAGAUAUUUGCUACUAGGAGUCUCAGGUGGGCCACAUGCCAUUGUAGGCUACCUCAUCAUACUACCCCCUCCAUUAACAUAUCAAGAUCAGUCUUGAAACCAGUUAGAUUUUUUUGGCCCCAUCAGUCCCCUUGGAAGGCUGUUCCAGAACUUCACUCCUCUGAUCAUUAGAAACCUUCCUCUAAUUUUAAGCCUAAACUUGUUGAUAGCCAGUUUAUAGUCCUUUGUUCUUGUGCCAGCAUUGGCCCUUAAUUUAAAUAACUCUUCUCUCUCCCUGGUAGUUAUCCUCUGAUGUAUUUAUACAGAGCAAACAUAUCUCCCCUCAGCUUUCUUUUGGUUAGGCUAAACAAGCCAAGGUUCUUAAGUCUCCUCUUGUAAGACAGGUUCUGCAUUCCUCUGAUCAUUCUAGUGGCCCUUCUCUGCACUCAUUCCAGUCUGAAUUCUUCUUUCUUAAACAUGGGAGACCAAAACUGCACACAGUAAUCAAAGUCGGGUCUCACCAGUCCUACUACACCCAGCCCCAAGAAAGGAGCAGCAAAGGUGGGUCUGCCUAGGGAGACCUCAUGGAUUCAGACAAUCAGAGUCCAGUAGGCUAAGAUAAAAGGAGAUGUGGGGCCUUCCCAGCCAAGAACUGAACUGCUACCACAGGGGCAAAGAAGGGUGCUCCUCUCUAGCCACAAGAGCUUAAAAAUAACCAGAGUUUGGUUCUGGAUGUAUUUUCUUAAGCUGAGAUAGAGAGGACCGAGAACUUCAACCCUGAGGUAAGGGGUGAAAAUAAAGGGGCCAGGUGGGAAGAGGCCCA